This is an RNA transcript of Zingiber officinale, 2349 nucleotides long. RefSeq lists it as uncharacterized. The transcript has 3 exons. NCBI's taxonomy places the organism in Eukaryota, Viridiplantae, Streptophyta, Magnoliopsida, Zingiberales, Zingiberaceae. The record is from RefSeq and is a predicted model, not a curated record.
UAUCUAGUUGCCUUGUCGUUUAUUUUCUUUGUAAUAUUAUGUGAGCAUGCAACUAACCAGCUACUGAUAUGAAUGUUGUUCCACACAUGCUGCUCAGAAUGCAUUUGUUUUCCACACAUAUGAAUGUUCUUCCAUGUCAUCUUUUUUGGCAAUUGCAACUUUGUCUUCGAUCUUGAUCUUUAUAUGAUAUGAAGAAGAAUAUUUUUAGUAGCUCUUCUUAUGAAGAAGAAUAUGGAAAACAGAACUUGAAACACAUGGUUAUUUGAUUUAUAGGGAAGAUGCACCUUGAGAGAUUUGCUAGCAAUAUAUGAUGCCCAUGAUUUGUUUCUUGUUUUAAAAAUGGUAACCAAUUUGCUUGUUACUAAUGAUGCUUGCCCUACCUUCCAAUCCAGAAGUUACAAUUACUUGCUGGAUUUUUUUAUGUAGAUCAAAUGGCUCGGCUUCCUAUUACCGAACAACGACGAAAACUAAAGAAACUAUUAUUGCUUCAACAAACAACCAACAAUAUGCUGGUCUUGUUAUUUGCUCUAUAUUAUGUACUCAUUUGUUCAUACCUUCGAGAUAAUGUUCGUCAUAUCAAAACAAAAGAAGAAAAAAGAGUCAAUCGAAUGAGAUGGAUGUGUAGAUUGACAAUGGAUUGUGAUUCUGCUUGCAUUAGUCAACUUCGCAUGGAUAGAGCAACCUUUAGGAUAUUGUGUGAUAUGGUAGCAAACAUUGGAGGACUAAAACCCACUAAGAACACAUCCAUAGAGGAGGUUGUAGCAAUGUUCAUAUAUACCUUGGCUCAUCACAAAAAAAGUAGAACAAUUAGCCUACUUUUUUACCGUAGUACAGAAACAGUGAGUCGGCAAUUUCAUCAAGUUCUUAAUGCAAUUUUAAAAUUAUAUCCUAUUUUGCUCAAGAAGCCAGAACCUAUUACUCAAGAUUGUCAAGAUGAGAAGUGGAAAUGUUUUCAGGGAUGCUUAGGAGCGUUAGAUGGAACAUUAAUUAAAGUUACACCUCCUACAGAAGAUAAACCUUGUUUUCGCACUAGAAAAGGGUGUAUUUCAACUAAUGUAUUAGGUGUUUGUUGCCCAAACAUGCAAUUCAUAUAUGUAUUACCUGGUUGGGAGGGAUCAGCACAUGAUGGUCGUGUGCUUCGAGAUGCGAUAUCAAGACCGCAUGGUCUAAGGGUCCCUCGAGGUACAUUUGCGUUGUAAUGUAUACUAUAAAUUUUAUUUUUAUUUUUUAAUGUUACUAACAAUUUCAUUUAUAUUCAACAAUGAAGGUUGUUAUUACUUGGUUGACUCUGGAUAUUGCAAUGCAAAUGGAUUUCUUGUCCCAUAUCAAGGACAACGAUAUCACCUAAAAGAAUUUGAUGGCCAUCGACCGGAGACACCAGAGGAAUACUUCAACAUGAAGCAUUCCAAGGCUAGGAAUGUUAUAGAAAGAUGUUUUGGGUUGUUAAAGGGGAGAUGGAAGAUUCUUGCAUCACCAUCAUUUUUCUCCAUUCAAACCCAAAUUCGGAUUAUCAUGGCAUGUUGUCUUAUGCAUAAUUUGAUUCGCAAGUUUAUGAGCUUUGAUCCACAAGAGUCACUUAUAGCAGAUGAGGAAGAGGAAUCUGAUGGGGGAAGUGACAAUGAAGAAGUAGAGUAUAUUACGCAAAUUAAUCCAAGUAAUGAGUGGUCAUCAUUUAGAAAUAAUAUGGCAACCAAUAUGUAUAGCACAUGGUCUACUAGACCUAGUGGCAAUGUUAGUGAUUGAGUUCUAUUUUGUAAGAAUGUUAUAACAAUUGCGUGUUCUGAUUUUAUAUAUGUAUUUGAAUGGUACCAGUUCUACUCGACAUUAUAAGAUUCAUAUAUUGGUAUAUUAUGUGGUGUUUUGUUUUAUAUGUAUACUCGACAUUAUAAGAUUUAUCCAUCAGUUAUUACUAAUGAUUAAAAAAGUUCUUUUAUGCCAAUAUGAUAUUCAUUUCAUACCUCUUACACUGUCAUCUUUUUUGUUAGGAUGACUACAAUUACUCCAUCAAUUGCACGUGGAAGAGGGAAAAACAAACAAUAUUGGACGGAUGAGGAGGUGGAAGUGUUGGUUGACGCUCUCAUAGAACUGGCUUCCGAUCCUUUAUGGAAGGUAGAUACUGGUUUUAAAAAUGGUUAUAUGAUUCAAAUACACAAAAUGGUAUUGGGUAAGAUUCCAAGUUUCAAUAAAGCAGUUAUUCCUCAUAUUGAAUCCAAGAUCAAAUAUCUUAAAACCAAGUACAAUCCCCUCUCUGAGAUGUGUAUGCAAAGUGGGUGUCAGUGGGAUGACGUGGAGCACAAGAUUAACUGUGAAAAGCAAUGGUUCGAUGAAUGGUGUCUGACUCACCCUAAU